This 484-nucleotide ribosomal RNA is filed under the name uncultured bacterium. Its description in RNAcentral is "partial 16S ribosomal RNA". It matches the Rfam family "Bacterial small subunit ribosomal RNA", at positions 30 to 507 of the family's 1533-position model. The record is from RNAcentral.
AUUGAACGCUGGCGGCAGGCCUAACACAUGCAAGUCGAGCGGAUGAAGGGAGCUUGCUCCUGGAUUCAGCGGCGGACGGGUGAGUAAUGCCUAGGAAUCUGCCUGGUAGUGGGGGAUAACGUCCGGAAACGGGCGCUAAUACCGCAUACGUCCUGAGGGAGAAAGUGGGGGAUCUUCGGACCUCACGCUAUCAGAUGAGCCUAGGUCGGAUUAGCUAGUUGGUGGGGUAAAGGCCUACCAAGGCGACGAUCCGUAACUGGUCUGAGAGGAUGAUCAGUCACACUGGAACUGAGACAAGGUCCAGACUCCUACGGGAGGCAGCAGUGGGGAAUAUUGGACAAUGGGCGAAAGCCUGAUCCAGCCAUGGCGCGUGUGUGAAGAAGGUCUUCGGAUUGUAAAGCACUUUAAGUUGGGAGGAAGGGCAGUAAGUUAAUACCUUGCUGUUUUGACGUUACCAACAGAAUAAGCACCGGCUAACUUCGUG